This is a long non-coding RNA of Pseudophryne corroboree (corroboree frog), 420 nucleotides long. RefSeq lists it as uncharacterized. The transcript is spliced from 3 exons. NCBI's taxonomy places the organism in Eukaryota, Metazoa, Chordata, Amphibia, Anura, Myobatrachidae. The record is from RefSeq and is a predicted model, not a curated record.
GCAGGGCUUGCUGGGUUGGGCAGUUCCACAGCAGCUGGAGCGCCAGAGUUUGUCUACUUCACCAGUCAGUAGUCAGGUUGCCAUGGGGACAGCCACGGCACCCUGCUGACAGGCACGCAUAAUGACACUUUCGCACAUGUGACCACGAUGGGGAGCGGAAGUGAAGGAUGCGGAAGCCUGGCGGGAGCGUUUGGGAGGCAGCUGGAGGCAGCGCUGGAGUGUUGGCCAAGUUGGGACUAGCUGUUGUGAACAACCUGGUCACUGUCAGAGGCAGCUUAACAUACAAAGUAAUGUUGAAUGAUGAUGACAGUUCCGAAACUUUGUCUGCGCUGUGGCACUAGCAGUGGGAAGGAAAUGGAGAGAUGAUUUAUGACACACUUUAUUGUAAAAAAAUAAAAAAUAAAGACACAGUGUAUCAUU